RNAcentral lists this ribosomal RNA (327 nucleotides) under Triticum aestivum (bread wheat). RNAcentral's name for it is "partial small subunit ribosomal RNA". Lineage: Eukaryota; Viridiplantae; Streptophyta; Magnoliopsida; Poales; Poaceae. The record is from RNAcentral.
UUAUAUAUCCCUGAAAAAGAUGGAGGAAUGGGCUUUCAUGAUCUCCACUCUUCCAACUUGGCAAUGUUAGCUAAGCAAGUAUGGUGGCUGAUUGAUGAACCUGAAUCCCUUUGUGCAAGGGUACUGAGAGCAAAAUACUACCCCUCUAGUGAUAUUUUAAAAGUAGGGCCCAACAAAGGAUCUUCCUUUACUUGGCAGAGCUUAGUAGCGGGUAUUCAGACUUUCAAGCAUGGGCACAUAUGGAGGAUUGGCACUGGGGAAAAGAUCAAUAUUUGGGAGGACCAUUGGAUUCCCUUGAGCCCCACUAUACAAAUUAUUACGCCCUAG